Molecule: long non-coding RNA, 777 nt
Organism: Orbicella faveolata
Lineage: Eukaryota; Metazoa; Cnidaria; Anthozoa; Scleractinia; Merulinidae
Source: RefSeq, a predicted model, not a curated record
CAUGCGCAGUGUCUCAUUUUGGGGGAAAUUUACUUCCGGCAGCCGUAUCAGAGCCAGCCGUAGCGGUUUGCUUAACCUCCCUAAUUUGCCACACGCUGCUGCUACACGACAAUCUCGCUGCCCGUUUGGCCGCACUUGCAUUACAGCUAGCCGCUGGUGUAUGUUCUGUUUGUGUGCAGCUUCUUGUCCUUUUUUGGAAUAUUUGAACAUUGGCAGGGUCUAAAGUCGGUAGAGACUUUGUUUUAUCGAAGCUUCAAGAUGGCAGACAAGCGAUCCAACUCUCCUCCUCCACCUGCUGGAUUUAAGAAAGUGAAAACUCAUCAUUGGGAGGGUGUGAGUGAUGCACGUGCCAAACGACAACCUGUCAAUGGCCAUACAGGAGUGUAUGCAUACCACUGUGAUGACUGUAUGUGUGGAAUGGCUGGCUGGCCUUGUUACCGAGAUGGAUGUGUAUGGAGUUGCUGUGGCCAGACUGAAAAAUACAGCCAGUGCACCAAGGAUAAAGGGGCAAAAAAAAAGCGAGAAAAGAAAAGUUAACUUUUUUUCUUUCUCAGCUUACUCUUAGGAAGAUUUUUCUUCACAAUUAUGCGCUCAUUGUUAUGCAAUUAUACACAAUUAUACACUCAUUGUAUCAAUGGUAAUCUUCCUAUGAGUGAAUGACAGCUUUAUUUAAGUGGCAAUGCUCAACAAUGGUAUUACUGACAAAUAAUAUAGGAUCGUGAAACAGGAAGAAAUAGCUAUUUUGCUAUCAAAGGCCAGAGCACUCAGUCCAUGUUA